RNAcentral lists this small RNA (570 nucleotides) under Pongo abelii (Sumatran orangutan). Its description in RNAcentral is "processed transcript". Lineage: Eukaryota; Metazoa; Chordata; Mammalia; Primates; Hominidae. The record is from RNAcentral.
AUUUCCCUCCAGCCCUGCUCCUUUUCAACAUGCCAGGCUGCUUGGCUGGGUUAUCUUUAAUCACUUUGUUUACCAUUGGAGUGAUGGGAUUUUCUUGGCCUUGUGAAGUACAGGGAGCCUCAGGAUAGCUUCACUGGGGGUGUCAUUACAUGGUCAUUAUCAGUGAGACACAACCGUUUCAGAUGGACAGUGACAAGGACAAUAGAAAGGCCAGGACACCACGGAAGUUCUGAAGAGGUAGUGGGAACUGAUUGAUCUGGAGCCAGAAGGAAGAGUGUAUGUGAUCAUCGAUCUCUCAGGGUCGUCGGGUGAAGCCCCUAAAGACAAUGAAGAGCGUGUGUUCAGGGAACGCAUGCGGCCGAGGAAGCGGCAGGGGGCCGUCAGGCGCAGGGUCCAUCAGGUCAACGGCCACAAGUUCAUGGCCACCUAUCUUCGGCAGCCCACCUACUGCUCCCAUUGCAGAGACUUCAUCUGGGGUGUCAUAGGAAAGCAGGGAUACCAGUGUCAAGUUUGCACCUGUGUGGUCCACAAGCGAUGCCACGAGCUCAUAAUCACGAAGUGUGCUGGGUU